GUAGGGAAUAUUGGGCAAUGGAAGGAAUUCUGACCCAGCCAUGCCGCGUGCAGGAAUACAGUCCUAUGGACUUUAAACUGCUUUUAUUAUAGAGUAACCUGGGGGACGUGUCCCCCACUGCAAGUAUAUAAUGAAUAAGCAUCGGCUAACUCCGUGCCAGCAGCCGCGGUAAUACGGGGGAUGCAAGCGUUAUCCGGAUUUAUUGGGUUUAAAGGGUGCGCAGGCUGAUCGGUAAGUCAUGGGUGAAAAGUCACUGCUUAACAGUGAUCGUGCCUAUGAUACUGCCUGACUAGAGUUUAAGAGGUGUAACUGGAAUGUGAUGUGUAGCGGUGAAAUGCUUAGAUAUGUCACAGAACGCCAAUCGUGAAGACAGGUUACAAACUUAAUACUGACGCUCAUGCACGAAAGCGUGGGGAUCAAACAGGAUUAGAAACCCCUGUAGUCC
Molecule: ribosomal RNA, 445 nt
Filed under: uncultured bacterium
Lineage: Bacteria
Description: partial 16S ribosomal RNA
Rfam family: Bacterial small subunit ribosomal RNA
Source: RNAcentral